This is a long non-coding RNA of Daphnia pulicaria, 1221 nucleotides long. RefSeq lists it as uncharacterized. The transcript has 6 exons. The record is from RefSeq and is a predicted model, not a curated record. NCBI's taxonomy places the organism in Eukaryota, Metazoa, Arthropoda, Branchiopoda, Diplostraca, Daphniidae.
AGUUUUUUGCGUCAGAAUAAUGGUCAGAUUGGUUUUACGCAGAUUUAUUACGUAUAUCUAGCUCACUGUUCUGUGACUGACUGUCUGCUAGGAUCUGAUUGUCAUUGUCAAUGCUGGUCAAUGUGUUGCCGUCACGAUUUGACAGUUUGGGCCCAAUUUUUGACGUUUUGACACUCACGCCCGGGCCUGCUCAUCGAACGUCAUCGAUCAACUGGGGUCCUAAUCCAACCAAUCAACAAAGCAGCAUGAAAGUUGGUCAACCCAUUGUUCAAGUUCUACGAAGACAGAGCCUUAAGCCUACACAUUUGCCCCAGCAGCUGUUGAUCUCACUUCCAACAAAAGAAGGUGGCGUUUUGAUAGAAAUCAAACAGUUGGGAACUGGCAAGGAGCAGCUUAGUCCAGUCAGUCCACGCAGGCUUUUUGACGAAUGGCAUGAAGCUUGAUUUUCCCAAGGUAGUGUAAAAAAGACAUGCAAGACCUUACUGGAGUAAAUACCAUUGAAGUGUGCAGUCUUGUCUUGUUAAUCCAGUUAUGCUUUCGGUGAAAAUGGAAGUCCACCUAAAAAUUCCUCUUAAAUGCCACAUUGCUGAUGUUUGAGGUUGGAAGAUAGAAGAUCUCACCAAAGCAUGGAGGAGCAUGAUGGAGGAAUUAUAAAUCAAACCUUAAAGUUAUUCAAAUCCUAUAAUGAAAAGGUGCUUGUUGCUGAAGUUUCACUGAUCGGUCGACACGGAGACACGGUAUUUGAUCAACUUGAGUUAAGCUUCAACCUUGGAGAAGAUUUAGAACACAACAUUCCCGACGGUGUUGAAUAGGCUCUGUUGAAAUUCAAGAAGCAAGGGAAGUUGACACCUGCAUACGGUUUCGGCUCUGCCGGUAACGAGAAACAAGGUGUUUUACCCAACGUCAACUUCGAAUACGAGGUUGAACUCACCAGCUUUGAAAAGGCCAAAGAGAGCUGGAGCAUGGACGCCGAAGAAAAAGCUGGAACAGGCUAAACUCUGCAAAGAAAAAGGAAUCAAUCAUUUUAAAACUGCCAAAUACGCUCUGACCAACAAACAGUACUCCAAGAUUGUCACCCUCCUCGAGUUUGAAAAAAGUAACUCUUAAAGACGAGAAAGCUACGGAGCGAGAACAGCUCAUGCUGGCAGCAUACCUCAAUCAGGCCAUGUGCUGUUUAAAGUUAAAUGAUUUCUGUGCAACUCGUGAUCAUUGCCACAAGGC